RNAcentral lists this ribosomal RNA (108 nucleotides) under Escherichia coli. Lineage: Bacteria; Pseudomonadati; Pseudomonadota; Gammaproteobacteria; Enterobacterales; Enterobacteriaceae. The record is from RNAcentral.
CCUUAGCRCGGUGGUCCCACCUGACCCCAUGCCGAACUCAGAAGUGAAACGCCGUAGCGCCGAUGGUAGUGUGGGGUCUCCCCAUGCGAGAGUAGGGAACUGCCAGGC